RNAcentral lists this long non-coding RNA (1119 nucleotides) under Equus asinus (donkey). Its description in RNAcentral is "lncRNA (ENSEASG00005028651.1)". Lineage: Eukaryota; Metazoa; Chordata; Mammalia; Perissodactyla; Equidae. The record is from RNAcentral.
CAGUCCUCUGUCCUCAGCCUCCCCACUCAUCAAGCUCUUUUCCUGCCCUUCCGCCAAACUGAACCUCCAGCCAUUUCGGGAACUCCACGGUGGCCACCGGCACCUUCUAACCAGAACUCGGCACGGGAGGCUCAGCUGGAGCCAGGGCUUGCCUGCUCUACUGGGCCUCUCGUUGGCACAUCCUGAGCACUACAGCCUUCCAUCAGGACUUAAGACGGAGUGGUGGGCUCCUCGGUAGAUAGGUAGGGUCCCCGAGGAUAGGUUCCUUGGGGACAGACAGAUCUAGGUUCUAGUCUGUAGGGACCAGGAUUAAGUUCAGCUGUGGGUGACAGACACCACCCCGAGGAGAAAAACAGUGCCAAAAAGACAGAAGUUUAUUUCUCUCUCAAACAAUCAAGAACCUAGAAGCUGGAAGAUAAGUUUCUCAGAGUCAAUGUCAAUCAUUCUUUCUUGCUGCUCAGCUCUCCUGUUUAUUUUUAUUUUUUUUUAAAGAUCAGCACCUGAGCUAACAACUGUUGCCAAUCUUCUUUUUUUCUUCUUCUUCUUCUCCCCGAAGCCCCCAGUACAUAGUCGUAUACCCUAGUUGUGAGCGCCUCUGGUUGUGCUCUGUGGGACGCCGCCUCAGCGUGGCCUGAUGAGUGGUGUCAUGUCCGUGCCCAGGAUCCGAACCAGCGAAACCCUGGGCCGCCGAAGCAGAGCGCACGAACUUAACCACUCGGCCACAGGCCAGCCCCAGCUCUCUUCUUCAAGUGGCUUCCUCUUCAUGGUCCAUGGUGGCUGUUUGGUUCCAGCCCCUAGGAGAAGAAGGGGACAAAGAAGUGCAUGUUCUCCCUUUCAGGACACUCCCAGAACUGCACGCUGCACUUGUGCUUACAGCUCACAGUCAGAAUUGAGUCACGUGGCUAAAAUGGCCCCCAGGGAGGCUGGGAAGAGAGUCUCGAUUCCAGGCAGCCAUGGGCCUUAUUAAAGUGGAUCGCCCACGUUCCAGCAGCUGCGUUCACCGUGUGACAGGUUGGGAAGCACUGUCACACCAGCUUCAACACCCCUGUGAGCCCGAGCUGGGGGAGGAGAGUCACCCCAUAGAUCCGACGAGGAAAGCCAGACUCAGAGAAGGCGAGG